GAUGAACGCUGGCGGCGUGCCUAAUACAUGCAAGUCGAGCGAACAGACGAGGAGCUUGCUCCUCUGACGUUAGCGGCGGACGGGUGAGUAACACGUGGAUAACCUACCUAUAAGACUGGGAUAACUUCGGGAAACCGGAGCUAAUACCGGAUAAUAUAUUGAACCGCAUGGUUCAAUAGUGAAAGACGGUUUUGCUGUCACUUAUAGAUGGAUCCGCGCCGCAUUAGCUAGUUGGUAAGGUAACGGCUUACCAAGGCAACGAUGCGUAGCCGACCUGAGAGGGUGAUCGGCCACAAUGGAACUGAGACACGGUCCAGACUCCUACGGGAGGCAGCAGUAGGGAAUCUUCCGCAAUGGGCGAAAGCCUGACGGAGCAACGCCGCGUGAGUGAUGAAGGUCUUCGGAUCGUAAAACUCUGUUAUUAGGGAAGAACAAAUGUGUAAGUAACUAUGCACGUCUUGACGGUACCUAAUCAGAAAGCCACGGCUAACUACG
RNAcentral lists this ribosomal RNA (495 nucleotides) under uncultured bacterium. RNAcentral describes it as "partial 16S ribosomal RNA". It matches the Rfam family "Bacterial small subunit ribosomal RNA", at positions 28 to 505 of the family's 1533-position model. The record is from RNAcentral.